AAUACAGAGACUGCAAGCGUUAUUCGGAUUCACUGGGCGUAAAGGGUGCGCAGGCGGCCGUGUGUGUGAGGCGUGAAAGCCCGGGGCUUAACCCCGGAAUUGCACCUCAAACUACAUGGCUAGAGCAUUGGAGAGGGUAGCAGAAUUCAUGGUGUAGCAGUGAAAUGCGUAGAUAUCAUGAGGAAUACCAGAGGCGAAGGCGGCUACCUGGACAAUUGCUGACGCUCAGGCACGAAAGCGUGGGGAGCAAAAGG
This 254-nucleotide ribosomal RNA is filed under the name uncultured prokaryote. RNAcentral's name for it is "partial 16S ribosomal RNA". It matches the Rfam family "Bacterial small subunit ribosomal RNA", at positions 522 to 775 of the family's 1533-position model. The record is from RNAcentral.